UGACAACAUUAAGUGUAACAGGGACAGUGAGACACACACACACACACACACACACACACACACACACACACACACGAAUAGUGAUAAAGCCUUACAGAACAUACAUAAAACAUGAAUAAAGAAAGAAAGGAAUAAACAAGCAAAGAAGAAAAUUAAUUGAAAAAAAAGUUAUACAUGCAAUACAGAUGCGAAAGUUUUUUAAACGUUUCAGACGUCAGAACUACGUCAUUUCGUGCAACGCAGAUAACUGUGACGUUCUACACACGUCUGCUCCGUCACUAUGGCUGCAAGAGACGCGAGGCGGUAAAAGCUUGCUUUAAUACGAUUAGUAUAUCCAUAAUAACUCUUAUCAACCGUUCUUUUGUCUAAUAACAGAAACGACGUAUGUCAUUUUCAUAUUUGGAUACAUUUAGUUCAGUAUUUGCUCUGAAACGAUGAAGAUUAACAGGAGAACCCAUCAGCUGCUUUCAUUAUGAAACUAGUUACAUCUCUAGUUUAUAAAGUACACAACCGGCGCUCUUUCAAAAAAUGUCGAAAAUGUACCACAAAGAGAAAAGCAUUCAGAUAAAGAGCAGCGCGUCGGCCCUCUACAACAACCUGAGCGUCCUGCGCAUCGCGCCGCGAUGCCUCACCUAUUUCACAGUGGUCCACGCCAACGUGGUGAACAUGGUCAGCGCCUCCUGGGACGGGCUGAACUAUUCCCACCGACAGCUGCAGUCUAAAGAGGGCAACGUGGCCACCAGCUCCUCACUUAUAAUGCAGGCAGCCUGGUGUGUCCUGCCUUCAAGAGAUCUUCUUGUUCUCACCUCUCAGAAGGGGAUCCAGAUGUAUGAAUCAGAUGGUUCAAUUAUGGUCUAUUGGCAUGCACUGGACACGCCAGAGACCCCUACUGCGAAAGCAGUUUUUGCCCGAGGAAUUGCUGCAGUGCAGGAAAAAUAUAUUUGUGUAGGGGUCUCAUCUGGCUCAGUGCUGGUGUUUGACGUUCCCAGUAAAGGCAGUAACAUCACCCUGUCUGAGGUUUUGGAGGAACAUAAAGAGGCAAUCACAGACAUGGCCUCUGAGUGCUCAGGCAAUCCGGAGUGCAUUGCUGAUUUAGUUAGUGCUGAUGACUCUGGCCUCCUCUGUGUGUGGAAAUCAGGAGAAGAUUUUCAACUGCUCAACAAGAUCCCAGGAUUUGACACAAGUUGUUCUUCAGUAAAACUCUGGAAGGGCAUUGUCAUUGCUGGCUAUGGGACGGGACAGAUUCGUCUGUAUGAGGGGGUCACAGGUAUACUACAUGCAGAAGUCAAUGCCCAUGCACGCUGGAUCUACUCACUGGACAUCGCCCCGUUCACUGGACUGCUGAUAUCUGCAGCAGAAGACUCCUGGGUUCGAGUAUGGCAUCUGAGCUUGACUCCAGAGACGAAUAGUGUAGAGAUCGAGCACAUGUACAAUGAGUGUGUGACUGAUACACAGAUCUGUGGAGCCAAGUUCUGUGAUGGGGACGGCUAUGCCUUUGCAGUGACCGGCUAUGACUUGAGUGAGAUCAUCCGCUACACACAAGCCUAGUCAGGAAUAGAGCGUGCACUUCUAGGACAUUCCCAUUGGUCAUGUGAGGAUCACCUGCAGAAGGAAGGUCAUGUCUUGACAGUGUAUUGCAAUAGCCAAACCCAGCCACCCGGCUUUGAUGUUCAGCAAACAAAAGCUGCCCGACGCAUCCCAUUAUCGUGAAUGAUUAAUUUGGAGAUGUCUGGAUGGAACACGCAGCACUUGCUCCCCCUCUCAAGACUUUCCAAAAUCUAUCUGUCUUAGCGUUGAGCCUGCUGGGAAAGCUUCGCCACACAGGGAUUGACAAAGUAAUGCCUCACCAGUCUGGAGCUGAGGAAAAAACAGACGCAAGGAGGAAAUUAGGAAAAAGUGUCUCCUGUAAAUAGUUCAUAUAAAUAGACUGGAAUCAGCAGGAGGGGGAAGUGGGAUCAGAAACACAGACAAAUGCUGGACGAGGAGAUUGGCUGGAGACGAGGAGGGAUAGAAAGCGGAGUGAAAAAGAGGUUGACUUCAUGCUGAUGAUUCAUCUGGUCAUCUCCAGAGUGAGACAUGUGCACACUCCACCCGCUCCAACAGCUGCUCCCGGGCCCCGUCUCCUCUGCUGUGUCCUGUGAGAACAGGAAAUGAAGAGUGAGCUGUUUUAAACAUUGGCCGGUCCUACUCUUGCCCAUGGGGCACUGCAACAAAACAAAACAUUUUUCUCUGUAUUUUGUUCUCAUGUUUUUACAAACAAAACAUGCAGCAAGAAAAAAUUGAAAAUCUGAAAAAGAUAACUAUGUUGUGACAUGAACUCUCAAGUCAGUUUCACUAUAAUCUCAUGAAUUUGUUAUUAACUGACUCUCUCUCUCUCUCUCUCUCUCUCUCUCUCUCUCAAUGGGGGUGUUAUACUCUUUCCAGUGUUGGGAGUAACGCAUUACAAAAGUAAUGCAUUACAGUAACAUUUAUUUUUGCUGUAACGCAGUAGUGUAAGGCAUUAAUAAUCGAAUUUUCAGUAAUAUUCAGUUCCUGUUGGUGUCGUCAAUCUGGUAACCUGCAUGUGCGUCAAGUCUGAGGAGGACGGGCAGGGUGAAAAUAACCCUCUCCGAUAUUUUGAAUUUGGGCUGCAGUACAUAGUUAAACCACUCGGUGUCAAUCCUACAUACAGCACCUUUAAAGGGACACUAAGUAGGAAUUACUCCCAUCUAGUGGUGAAAUUCAAACUAAUUUUGCUCUCCAGCGCCUCGCUUUUUCAAAUGCGCGUUGCAUCUACGGUAGGCGAUAUGUACCAAAAAGCUUUGACGGGAUGUCUUCUAAUAGCACUUCAUCGAGUUUUCCUUCAGGUGAACAGGUGUGUUAUUUCAAACAAACAGCAACAUGACCAUAAACAAACGAAUGUUACAGUAUGAAUUACUGACUGUGGAAAACAUGAAAUAUUGUAAUUAGUAGUUAUGUCUUCUUUAUUCGUUAUAUUUUCUGAAUAAUGUGCAUUGUUAGAUAUAAAAAAAAUAUUGUAAUAUAGAUUGUAACACUGACUUACCUGUCGAGAAGAAAACUGGCUUCAGCGUCUCUUUUGAAAUCUUUAUCCAGCAUUAGCUCUUUCCACCUAGAAAAAGCUUCCCCGACAUUAACUCUUGUUUUCUGUAAUCUACGGUCACGUUUCCUUUUACGUUCUAUUUUUGACUGUUUUGGCGACGAUGUUUUCUUCUCCUGUGGCGCGCCAUAUGUAUGGUCCAUAAUAAGAAUGCAAUCCAGACUUUUAAACUUGCCGGUGCAGUUUCAAGCGCCUCUCACUGCUCUGCACCUGCGUUUCUGGCUCUGACCGAAAACGCGCUGUGGAAACGCGUUGGCUUAGUACUUUUUGUCCCUCUCUGCUAUUAUAGUUUUGCAAGAUGGCGGAACUACAUGGAAGCCUCCGUCGACCUACCCGUCCCAUGUAUAUAAAGAUAAUAAAUUCUUCAUUUACGAGGAUUAGUUUAAACAUUGGCAUAGGUAUUUGUACACCAUUGAGGGCAUAUUUAUGAAUAAAAAAAUUGAUUUUAGAUAAUAAAAUACUUAUUGUCCCUUUAAGUUCAACUUCUGUAGUUUUUUUGGUUAAUAUUAUUAUUAUUAUUUUUAUUUUUACAGUACUUAGAAUUUAGAAUCACCUAAUCUACAUAGCCUACUAUGUUACUUGCACUAGCCUACUGUUUAUGCGCAAUGGGUAGGAUGGAUUAGGGUUGUGGAGUAGAUGCAUAUUAUGUGUACGUGAAAACUACAUAUCAUAUGCACUCCAACAAAUUUCGUUUCAUAAGCAUUUGGAAACUGUUUAUUAUGUGCAGGUCAAACCUGUGCGUAUCAUAUGCAAGCAACAUGCCAAAGUCAUUUUUUGCUUAUCAAUACCACAGUUUUCUGUUUUUAUUUGGCAUAUUUAUAUGCAUUUUCAUGAGACCGGGCUCACUUGCCUGAGAAGUGAAGGUGCAUCGCAAUAAAUUAGAAUGUAGUGGAAAAAUUCAUUUAUUUCAGACAUUCCCAGAAUUCUCUGCAUUGCAUUUCAAGUUUUGUUUGAAUUAGAUGUUUUUUCUUUGAAAUAACUAUGUUUCUUCUUAUUUUUUUCCUUUCCUAUUAUGUUUAUUAGGGUUGUAUGUUACAUAUAAUGUUGUUAAAUUAAUGUUUAUUGCAUAUUUCAAUUUAAUGAGUCUCACCAUGAUGGUGUUUAGUGCUUGUGUGAAUCACACUGUGAAUCUUUUAUAUAUGAUAUUAUUUUUAUUUAAAAGCUGCUUGUGAUGGGCUAUUGUUUAUCACUUGACUUUCUCAUCACCACCUGCUUUUGGUGGUUAUCAGUGUAUUACAAAGGUACAAAACAGAUUUCAGUACUUCAAUAGGUUGGUAUAUUAACAUCAUAUCAGUUAAUGAAAAUACGGUAUUUAACUGUAAAUUUAAGGUAAAACCUAAAACAUUGUUAACGUAUUUGUUAUGGUAGAAUUCUGGCAACAACAGCUGCCGUUUUUUACUGUAAAUUUUAAGGAUUUUUUAUUUACAGUGGUGGCAUUUCAUUUAUUGAAUACAUUUCGGACGGAUUUUGUUUGAAAUGACACAGUGUCCACUGAUGUAUUGCAAAACUUAAAAAGGUAAUUGUGUAUAAAAAUGUGUUUAUUGUCAACAGUCUGAAUUUGCACCUAUUCAAUUCAAUUCAAGUU
This is an RNA transcript of Carassius gibelio (silver crucian carp), 4682 nucleotides long. It is a transcript of the gene named WD repeat-containing protein 54, with no coding region annotated. Lineage: Eukaryota; Metazoa; Chordata; Actinopteri; Cypriniformes; Cyprinidae. The transcript is spliced from 11 exons. The record is from RefSeq and is a predicted model, not a curated record.